Molecule: ribosomal RNA, 890 nt
Filed under: uncultured bacterium
Lineage: Bacteria
Description: bacterial SSU rRNA
Rfam family: Bacterial small subunit ribosomal RNA
Source: RNAcentral
GAUGAACGCUAGCGGCAGGCCUAAUACAUGCAAGUCGAACGGUAACAGGGGAGCUUGCUCCCGCUGACGAGUGGCGCACGGGUGAGUAACGCGUAUGCAACCUACCUCCAACUGGGGAAUAGCCCCGGGAAACCGGGAUUAAUACCCCAUAAUGCCUAAAAGUAGCAUUACUUUAAGGUUAAAGUCUUGGCGGUUGGAGAUGGGCAUGCGUGACAUUAGCUUGUUGGUGAGGUAACGGCUCACCAAGGCUACGAUGUCUAGGGGGUCUGAGAGGAUGAUCCCCCACACUGGUACUGAGACACGGACCAGACUCCUACGGGAGGCAGCAGUAAGGAAUAUUGGGCAAUGGGCGAAAGCCUGACCCAGCCAUGCCGCGUGCAGGAUGACGGCUCUAGUAGUUGUAAACUGCUUUUAUACGGGAAGAAACCCCUCUACGUGUAGAGGGCUGACGGUACCGUAAGAAUAAGGAUCGGCUAACUCCGUGCCAGCAGCCGCGGUAAUACGGAGGAUCCAAGCGUUAUCCGGAUUUAUUGGGUUUAAAGGGUGCGUAGGCGGAACGGUAAGUCAGUGGUGAAAGCCUGCAGCUUAACUGCAGAAUUGCCAUUGAUACUGCUGUCCUUGAGUAUAGUUGAAGUGGGCGGAAUGUGUCAUGUAGCGGUGAAAUGCAUAGAUAUGACACAGAACACCGAUUGCGAAGGCAGCUCACUAAACUAUUACUGACGCUAAGGCACGAAAGCGUGGGGGGCAAACAGGAUUAGAUACCCUGGUAGUCCACGCCGUAAACGAUGAUUACUCGAUGUUGGCGAUAUACUGUCAGCGUUCAAGCGAAAGCAUUAAGUAAUCCACCUGGGGAGUACGGUCGCAAGAUUGAAACUCAAAGGAAUUGACGG